This 301-nucleotide ribosomal RNA is filed under the name uncultured bacterium. RNAcentral's name for it is "partial 16S ribosomal RNA". It matches the Rfam family "Bacterial small subunit ribosomal RNA", at positions 509 to 807 of the family's 1533-position model. The record is from RNAcentral.
CAGUAGCCACGGUAAUACGUAGGGUGCAAGCGUUAAUCGGAAUUACUGGGCGUAAAGCGUGCGCAGGCGGUUAUAUAAGACAGAUGUGAAAUCCCCGGGCUCAACCUGGGAACUGCAUUUGUGACUGUAUAGCUAGAGUACGGCAGAGGGGGAUGGAAUUCCGCGUGUAGCAGUGAAAUGCGUAGAUAUGCGGAGGAACACCGAUGGCGAAGGCAAUCCCCUGGGCCUGUACUGACGCUCAUGCACGAAAGCGUGGGGAGCAAACAGGACUAGAUACCCCAGUAGUCCCUGUCUCUUAUAC